This 73-nucleotide transfer RNA is filed under the name Canis lupus familiaris (dog). It matches the Rfam family "tRNA". Rfam says of the family: Transfer RNA (tRNA) molecules are approximately 80 nucleotides in length. Their secondary structure includes four short double-helical elements and three loops (D, anti-codon, and T loops). Further hydrogen bonds mediate the characteristic L-shaped molecular structure. tRNAs have two regions of fundamental functional importance: the anti-codon, which is responsible for specific mRNA codon recognition, and the 3' end, to which the tRNAs corresponding amino acid is attached (by aminoacyl-tRNA synthetases). tRNAs cope with the degeneracy of the genetic code in two manners: having more than one tRNA (with a specific anti-codon) for a particular amino acid; and 'wobble' base-pairing, i.e. permitting non-standard base-pairing at the 3rd anti-codon position. The record is from Rfam by way of RNAcentral. RNAcentral also lists the same sequence under 1 other name. Lineage: Eukaryota; Metazoa; Chordata; Mammalia; Carnivora; Canidae.
ACCUGGUGGGCUCAGUCAGUAGAGCAUGCGGCUCCUGAUCGCAGGGUGGUGAGUUCAAGGCCCACGUUGGGUG